RNAcentral lists this long non-coding RNA (218 nucleotides) under Elaeis guineensis (African oil palm). Its description in RNAcentral is "long non-coding RNA (EGUI_LNC035636)". The record is from RNAcentral. Lineage: Eukaryota; Viridiplantae; Streptophyta; Magnoliopsida; Arecales; Arecaceae.
CUGAUAUUUUGAGCCUCCAAGGACCCUUUUCAAAUUAUUUUUUGGACAUCCAAAGCUUCUGAUUUAAGUAUUCGAGCAUGAGGGCUUCAAGAAUCUCUUAGAUUAGCCCUCGCUCUUUGGUUGUCAAGAUCCUCUUAUUGGCUAUUCUCAUUCAAAAAUGAGAUGCCUUUGGGGUCUUCAUUGUGGCAUAUUCAUCUAGAUGAUAAGGUGCCCUUCUC